Ictalurus punctatus (channel catfish) is the source of this 621-nucleotide long non-coding RNA. RefSeq lists it as uncharacterized. Lineage: Eukaryota; Metazoa; Chordata; Actinopteri; Siluriformes; Ictaluridae. The transcript is spliced from 2 exons. The record is from RefSeq and is a predicted model, not a curated record.
AGUUCCUCUGAAAGGAGGAGACGAGACAUAAAAGGGACGGUCUAGCCACAGGACACACAGGCCGUGCUCUACGGGAUCCGUGACUAAAUGCUUCUGCGUACAUGUUUAUAAAGAUUUAUUUUUCCCCACCCCCUCACGCAGGUGUGCCAUGCGAAUCUGUCGCCAGCAGCCGUGUCACGCUCCUCUUACCUUCGGUCAUGCAGAAGACGCGCAGGAAGGCCAGGAGCUGGGCUGAAAUGGGCGGCUCGCUGCAGUGCAGGGCGAAAACGCUCGACCUACGGAGAAUAAAAUAAUUUUAAAAAAAGAUCAAAUAACGACGACGUCGGAGGGAAAGCUGGUCGAAUGAACCCGAGUGCAUCUUGGAGACUCCGUCAGCUAAACCUCAUCGAAAAAGGUCCCGGACAGGCGAAAGCAGAACUUUUUCCAAGCGCAAGGAUCACCGCCUGUAGUUUCUGCAGGUUGUGAUCCUCGCAGGAGAAGACAGAAAAUCAACUUUACAGAUACAUUAGAAAUUCACCGGCAUCAUUUCAGUCCCGCUCUUCCACACCCCACUCACGUAUUCCCGCUCCGUAUAUACGACAACAUCCACUACACUUAUAGAUAGUGAAAAUAGGAGAGGGG